Non-coding RNA from Triticum urartu, 1493 nucleotides. Lineage: Eukaryota; Viridiplantae; Streptophyta; Magnoliopsida; Poales; Poaceae. The record is from RefSeq and is a predicted model, not a curated record.
UCUUUAAUAGACUACUGUGUACAGUAGUUAUUAUCGAGCUUUGUCAAGCUAUCAACGAGCUGGGAGUCUGAACUCUGAACUCAGGCAGGCGAAAUUGAAGUGACUUUCCCUCUUUCUUUCUUCCUCCCACCUCUCCUCGCGCCGCCGCCGGCAACUAGGCUCUGACGGCACCGUCUCUCUCAGUUCUCCUUCUCAUUCGCUCUACAGGACUGGCUUGGGGGUGGAGGUUUGCCCGGCCCCGGGCUCGGAUUGAUCUGGUGACGGACCCUACUUCUUUUCUUCGCUGUGAGCACUGUAGUUCCCAAUCUCUCCUUCCGGGACUGAUGCCCCAAUCUAGGGCACCCCUGAGUACCUGACCACCCAAGCCUCGUACAUCGAUUCCCGCUGUUCUCACCCGGUCCGUGAUCUUGGAUAUUGGUUGAGGGAAGUGUGUAUGGUACUUUUAUGGUUGGCCAAAUGCAGAUAUCUUGGCCAUCCACGAUUGUAGAGCUCAUCUUGGGCCUGCUAUGGCACCUCGUCCACCUGUUGGUCAGCCUCUUUGAUUUGUGGUCGCAUCUGAGUGAUAAUCUAGAAUGUUAUCUUAUUUCGUCUGGGCUGCUGCCCAAGUACCGAGAUCUUCAUUUUGAAAGACUUAAUUACGUGGGCGUUGUAGUAGAUAGCAGAGAAGCAAAUAAUGUUUUGAAGAUCAAGCAACUUUUACGGUGGUUAUCAACUAUUGGCGUUAAGUAUGUAGUUCUCUAUGACAUUGAAGGAGUACUGAAGGAAUGGCUUAAACCUGGUAUCAAAACCCCAAGAGAUGAGAACUCAAGAACUAAUUUAGAUCUUAGUGCACAUGGGGGGAUGGCUAUAGAGUGUCUUUCUGGUUCUGAUGGCAAGGAAGGCAUUGCUAAAGCAGCAAACUUACUGUGCUCAGACUUCUGCAAUCGCAACACUCAUGGGCAUAAUAAACUUGACAAUGCAUUUACAGAAGCUGACAUGGUUUGUGCACUGAGAGAAGUAGGUAGUGGUGGGCCAGAACCUGAUCUUCUUCUUGUGUACGGUCCUGUUAGAUGUCAUUUAGGAUUUCCUGCAUGGAGAUUACGUUUCACAGAGAUUAUGCAUAUGGGCUCGUUGAAAUCAAUGAAAUACGGUUCUAUUGUGAAAGCUUUGCAUCGAUUCUCACACAAAUAUCAAAAUUAUGGUAACCCCAUAUUUCAGGUAAAUGAGAGGAGACAAGAAAGCCACCCAUUUUGUUAUGUAAAAUGUGUACUUCUGGAGCGGGCUGAAGUUUAUUAACUACAAUAUGUAGUCUUGGCGGAUACACUGUGCUUCCUUUUUGUUUGGAUCAAAUGGGUUACCUGUAGAACAUACAGAUGGUGAUACAUGAUAGGCUCAUAUGGGCAACCAUGAUAUCUCGUAUCCCACGGAAUGCAUACUCUCUAGCCAGACACAAAAAUUGCAACUGUCUGUGCUGUCCACAAGCUGCUGAAAAAUCUGAGCCAAGGGAAUGCAGU